GACGAACGCUGGCGGCGUGCUUAACACAUGCAAGUCGAACGGAAAGGCCCUGCUUUUGUGGGGUGCUCGAGUGGCGAACGGGUGAGUAACACGUGAGUAACCUGCCCUUGACUUUGGGAUAACUUCAGGAAACUGGGGCUAAUACCGGAUAGGAGCUCCUGCUGCAUGGUGGGGGUUGGAAAGUUUCGGCGGUUGGGGAUGGACUCGCGGCUUAUCAGCUUGUUGGUGGGGUAGUGGCUUACCAAGGCUUUGACGGGUAGCCGGCCUGAGAGGGUGACCGGCCACAUUGGGACUGAGAUACGGCCCAGACUCCUACGGGAGGCAGCAGUGGGGAAUAUUGCACAAUGGGCGGAAGCCUGAUGCAGCAACGCCGCGUGCGGGAUGACGGCCUUCGGGUUGUAAACCGCUUUCGCCUGUGACGAAGCGUGAGUGACGGUAAUGGGUAAAGAAGCACCGGCUAACUACGUGCCAGCAGCCGCGGUGAUACGUAGGGUGCGAGCGUUGUCCGGAUUUAUUGGGCGUAAAGGGCUCGUAGGUGGUUGAUCGCGUCGGAAGUGUAAUCUUGGGGCUUAACCCUGAGCGUGCUUUCGAUACGGGUUGACUUGAGGAAGGUAGGGGAGAAUGGAAUUCCUGGUGGAGCGGUGGAAUGCGCAGAUAUCAGGAGGAACACCAGUGGCGAAGGCGGUUCUCUGGGCCUUUCCUGACGCUGAGGAGCGAAAGCGUGGGGAGCGAACAGGCUUAGAUACCCUGGUAGUCCACGCUGUAAACGGUGGGUACUAGGUGUGGGGUACAUUCCACGGGUUCCGUGCCGUAGCUAACGCUUUAAGUACCCCGCCUGGGGAGUACGGCCGCAAGGCUAAAACUCAAAGGAAUUGACGGGGCCCCGCACAAGCGGCGGAGCAUGCGGAUUAAUUCGAUGCAACGCGUAGAACCUUACCUGGGUUUGACAUGGAUCGGGAGUGCUCAGAGAUGGGUGUGCCUCUUUUGGGGUCGGUUCACAGGUGGUGCAUGGCUGUCGUCAGCUCGUGUCGUGAGAUGUUGGGUUAAGUCCCGCAACGAGCGCAACCCUUGUUCACUGUUGCCAGCACGUUAUGGUGGGGACUCAGUGGAGACCGCCGGGGUCAACUCGGAGGAAGGUGGGGAUGACGUCAAGUCAUCAUGCCCCUUAUGUCCAGGGCUUCACGCAUGCUACAAUGGCUGGUACAGAGAGUGGCGAGCCUGUGAGGGUGAGCGAAUCUCGGAAAGCCGGUCUCAGUACGGAUUGGGGUCUGCAACUCGACCUCAUGAAGUCGGAGUCGCUAGUAAUCGCAGAUCAGCAACGCUGCGGUGAAUACGUUCCCGGG
This 1343-nucleotide ribosomal RNA is filed under the name uncultured bacterium. Its description in RNAcentral is "16S ribosomal RNA". It matches the Rfam family "Bacterial small subunit ribosomal RNA", at positions 28 to 1378 of the family's 1533-position model. The record is from RNAcentral.